UUUUCUGUACUGCAAAUUAUUAUACUGUGUUAAUGUGGUUUUUUGUUUUGUUUUGUCAUGGUUAGUUGACUUUACAGCACAACAAUGGACCUUAUUAUUCCUUAUUUGUAUCCCUUAAGUGUCAUUAGUUUCUUUUUGAGAAUAAAAGUGUCACUCUUAAAAUAAUAACUUUUGAAGUAAAGGUUACCUUUUAAAGAAAUUAUUGAUUGAUUUUCCAGAGAGAGGAAGGGAGGAGGGCAGGGAAAGAGAGAAACAUCAUUUUUUUUGUUUCACUUAUUUAUGCAUUCCUUGGUUGAUUCUUGUAUGUACCCUGCCCAAGGAUUGAACAUGCAACUUUGAUGCAUUGGAAAAAUUAUG
Molecule: long non-coding RNA, 357 nt
Organism: Phyllostomus discolor (pale spear-nosed bat)
Lineage: Eukaryota; Metazoa; Chordata; Mammalia; Chiroptera; Phyllostomidae
Exons: 3
Source: RefSeq, a predicted model, not a curated record